This 253-nucleotide ribosomal RNA is filed under the name uncultured bacterium. RNAcentral describes it as "partial 16S ribosomal RNA". It matches the Rfam family "Bacterial small subunit ribosomal RNA", at positions 524 to 776 of the family's 1533-position model. The record is from RNAcentral.
UACGUAGGGUGCGAGCGUUAAUCGGAAUUACUGGGCGUAAAGCGUGCGCAGGCGGUUCGUUAAGUCAGAUGUGAAAGCCCCGGGCUCAACCUGGGAACUGCAUUUGAAACUGGCGGGCUUGAGUGCGGCAGAGGGGGGUGGAAUUCCCGGUGUAGCAGUGAAAUGCGUAGAGAUCGGGAGGAACAUCAGUUGCGAAGGCGGCUCUCUGGACCAGCACUGACACUGAGGCACGAAAGCGUGGGGAGCAAACAGG